Long non-coding RNA from Drosophila mojavensis, 3063 nucleotides. RefSeq lists it as uncharacterized. The record is from RefSeq and is a predicted model, not a curated record. The transcript is spliced from 2 exons. Lineage: Eukaryota; Metazoa; Arthropoda; Insecta; Diptera; Drosophilidae.
CUGGCAUAGCUCUGCCACCAAGUAGGCAGCCAAGGAUGUAUGACUGACUAACCGUAUCUCUCUUUAUCUCUUCAUCUCUCCCGCUCUCCUUCUGUCUGACUGCCCAAUCGUUGUAUUUGCAAAUGGCAACUUGGACUUCAGUGGUUGCUGUUGUUGUUGUUGUUGUUGCGCCUUUUGCCAGUUUUUGCGAUUGUAUGUGUGUGUGAGUGUAUCUUGUUUAUUAUUCAUGCUGUGUGCUCCUUUACACCAUUACAAGGUCCUUGUGGCUGACGCUGCGCUCUGUUUAAAUGGCGCAUAAAAUAUUAAUGGCUUCAUUAGCAUUCGCACAAAUUUCUCAUAAUUACAUAAUCAGAAGAGGAGUCGCAGGGCGACCAAAAGGGGAGCCAAAUCGAAAACGAUGUGCAACAUUUUGUGGCAACAAAGCCGCUUUAUAGUAUGAAUUAUAUACAGUUUUCCACAAAACUGUACAGACGCACAAAGCCUUUUUGGCCAAAUUGAGGUCCCUUUGCUGGGCAACGCACUGAGCCGUUAAGUGGGCGGCCAGGGGGAGGAGUUCAAAGUGACAGCAAACAUUUUGCCUAUGAGCUGGCCGGGAUUUGAAAUAUUGCCGUGCGCAUUUGAAAGCAAGAGAGAGAUAGAUACAGAGAGAGAGAGAGAGAGCGAGUUGAAUGAGAUGGCAAGCAAUAAAAUGAAAAAUAUUUGAACUUUAGCAAAAAGCGCACAAGGAUAUCAAUUCCCAGAAGCAUACAAAAAUACACAAAUGCAUGUGCCAGCAUGUGUGCGUGUGUAUAUGUAUAUGUGUGUGUAUGCGUAGUCAAAUCCAACUAGAAUCAGAAUCACAGCAAUAAAAUUGAAAGAGCGUGCACGAAUGCCAAUAGAAAACAAACAGCAAGGAGAGGAGAAGCAGAGGCGGAUGGGCUGCUCAGUAUAUUAGGUUGAAGCACAAACAAGUUUUUUUCGGCACACAAAUGGGACAUAAGAGGCAAAAAAAAAAAAGAAGAAGGCGAAAAGAAAGAGACGUAGAGAAAGGACGAAGGCAACGACAGACAACGUUUAUUUGCCUUUUUGCCUCAAUGGCAGCAAAGGCGAAUUUAAAAUGAGAAACAAAAUCAACAACAACAAUAACAAGAACAACAACAACAACAAAAACAUUGAUGAGUGAUUCGUGUCAAAUUCAGCAAAGCUUUAGAAUGUGUCAUCCGAUAUGUAAUAAGCUAGAGCACGUGUCCUGCGAAAGGAAAACAAUAUUAAGGCAGUCAAAGGUACACAAAGGUCAAACGGAACAUUAUGGCUUUAUUUUGCGCCUAAUAAAUCUCAUUAUGUCAUUAUAUGCUCGAGCAACAACAACAACCAUAACAAGAAACAGCAGAGGUAACCGAAACAGCCGAACAAAAAAUAAAUAGUAGCCGCUAACUGCGCUGCCGGCUUCGUCGUCGACGUCGUUGAAACGGCAACAGCCAAACGACAUGCCAAUCAGUAAUCAAUCCGCACGCACAUUGACAACGAGGACGUCGCCAGCUCUGCCGCGCUCUCUCUUCUUCGACCAAAAACAAUUUGCUAAGGCAGAUAUGAGUGAUUGCAAUUGUAUGAAAUACCAAAUACCCUGUAUGCUCAAGAAUUUCGUCCAUAUAAAGAGAAUUUUUAAAUUAUUUGUUUGAAUAAAAAGUUGUUUGUUUUGCUUAAAUCAAUACAGCACAAAAAUAACUACUAUUUUUUAUAGAUGUCUUCAUUUUAUAAUGAAUUAUUCUUAUUGGAGUCUUAUUGGUCUGGUUGUGCCAACUCAAUGCUGCCAAUAAGAAACUCUACAAAAGGAGCAGCAGCAAUGCUGGCAAGUGAGACCACACGACGUCACAGUAAACAAAAUGAAAAGAGAUAAACAUAGAGCAGCACUGCGCAACAUGGCGUCAGCAGCAGUCAGCGGCACUGGCGUUGAGCGCGAGCGAGAACGAGAGCGCCCAGAGAGCGAGCGCACAGCAAAAACGCCGCCAUUAAAGAAAUUCCUCUCAGAGAGUGCGACGUGUAUAUGUAUGGGAAUGCUUUAGUGUGCGGCAUGCGUGUGCAAAUGCCGCAGAGUUGUCGACAUACGAGCGAUAAAACCAAAUAAACAGUCAGGUUAAGUUAUAUACUAAAUUUUAUACAAUACGAUUAUAUUUUUAAUAACCAAAAAAAUAGGUGGAUUAUUGCAGUUUUAAAGUUUGUGGUUUUUGUUGUCAGUUUAUUGGCUUGUUUACUUGAAGACUUUAGUUGGCAACCCUGGCUUGCGCGCCGCUGUGUUGCCAGCGAGAGCCGCUCAAUUUAUGCGCUUUUUGUACGCGUUGCUCCUUCGUGGCGGACAGUACGGAUGAAACACUGUCGACGCAAACUAGGCGAAAAGUUCUAUGAGAAAUAACAAAAAAAAAAAAAAAAAAAAUUUAAAAAAACAAUCCAACAUUUUUAGCAUAAAUUGUGUGCUAAACCAUAAGAUUUCCAUGAGCAAAUAGGCAAAGAAGAAGAAAUAAAAAAAGAAAACAACUAACCUCAUAAAAAAGUUCAUGCAGUGAAAAAAAAAAAAUAAACCAAGAAAAUUUGCCAGAAGCAUAUUUGUCAAAUAAAAAAAAGUAAUAACAGAAAAAAAGAAAAGUAAAAGAGUGUGCGCAAUCUGUACCCUUCUCGCUCUUGCUCUUAUAUAAAUGGCAAAUAAUUCUUGAGAUUGGCUACAACAACAACAACGACGUGAAAAAGGAAAGCUCUGCCUACAACAACGAAAAUUUGUGGAUUUACAUUUCCUGUGUGCAGCAGCAGCAGCACCAACAACAACGCCUUCGUCGGCGUUUCUUUUGUGGAUUAUUACUACCUAAAAACCGCUGCUCACUUUGCGGGCCGCACUCUCUCACUCAGUCGCUCUCUGUCGCACGCGAGUGCAAGGGUCGCUGCGCGAGCAAGCCAGAGCCAGCAGGCAACGAAAAUCCUCGUUCGCACCUUGCUCCCCACCAUUCUCUAUCAUACUCCACUCUCACCCAUCCACUACUACUCACCAUUCUGUGUCUCUCCCCUAACGUCGCUCACUGCCGUCGCCGCUAACAA